Molecule: non-coding RNA, 1503 nt
Organism: Erythranthe guttata (spotted monkey flower)
Lineage: Eukaryota; Viridiplantae; Streptophyta; Magnoliopsida; Lamiales; Phrymaceae
Source: RefSeq, a predicted model, not a curated record
GUCGCUAGUUUGCGACCAUUUUGACUAGCAAACGUCGCAAGAUAUCGGAAAAUAAGAUUUCGAUGGAAUACCUCGCGACGAUAAGAUCAAUCGUCGCCAGUUUGCGACGAAUAAUAACAAACCGUCGCAAAGUGAAAAAAAAAAAUAAUGAAGCAAAUUCGUAGCGACGUUUUUAUAUAACCGACGCAAGAAAAAAAAAAUUUGCAAUUUUUUUUUUACCUUAGCGACGAAUGUUACGUAUUCGUCGCGAGUGCAAUUGUGAAAAAAAAAAUUUUAUUGGUUUGGCGACGAAUAAGGAUAAACGUAGCUAAUAAAGAGGAAAUAUUAAAUUAUAUUUAUUUGUAGCGACGAAACGAGUGGAUUCGUCGCAGGGCAAAUACUUUUUUAAAAGAAUUAUAUUUAUUAUUGGCGACGAUAGUGUUGUAAUCGUCGCCAAAAUAAUUAUGGAAAAAAUCUCGCUUUUCUAUAGCGACGUUUCUUACAGAAACGUCGCAUGUCUAAUUAAUUUUUUUUUGGUUAGCGACGAAAGUCCUUAAAAUGUCGCUACAUGAUUGGUUUGAAAUCUUUUGUGGCGACGAUUUGGUAGGAAUCGUCGCAACAAAACGAAUUAGAAGUCAGGCCCUAAUCCCCUUUUCCCCAAUUCUCUGAAUUUCUUCUCUCUCAUUUUCAAUCUUCCCUCCGCCGGCGCCCCCCUCCGCCGGGUCCUCCCCCUCCGCCUCCGUCGCCGCAGUCUGCCGCUGCUCUCCGCCGUCCGCCGCUGCUCUCCUCCGCCCAUCUCUCCGCCGCUGCUCUCCACCGUUAGCCCAUCUCUCCGCCCCCAUCUCUCCGCCGUCCGCCGCUGCUCUUCCCCGUUCGCCGCUGCUCUUCCCCGUUCGCCGCUGCUCCUCAAAUCAGAGAAGAGCAAAUAAAAAUAAUAAAAAGGAGCAAGGAUUAGCUAAAUCAAGAGCAGCAAUUAGCAAUUAAAAAAGCAGCUUCUAAUUUGCCGUUUGUUCCCGCCACCAGCCGUUACCGUCUGCCGCCAUUCCUUCUCCGUCUCCCUCAUUUCAAGUGACGAAAGCACGGCCAACUCAAUUGCGAUAGAAAAAGUGCUCGGGAAAAGCAAAGGGCUUGGAAUUAAGAUUGCAACCACCACAAAGAGUUCAAAGUUGAGAUUUUCUUCAAUUCCGCCGGAAGUGCAAAUGGAAAUGAAUUCAAUGAAAGAGCAAAUGCUACUUAAAGAUGAAAAAAUGGAAAGAUUGGAAGCGGAAUUGAAAGAAACCCGAGAAAUUGUGAACACCUUGGUCGGCCGUUUUGGACUACAAGCCUCGACAUCGACUCCUUCCAAUGAUGGUGGAGUAUAAAAAAGGGAUGAACUUUGUUUGGUUUUUGAAUUAAACUUUGCAACACUACAUUAUAUGCUUUUAAGUUUUAUGUACUUUUUAAAUUUAUGUUUUGUGCUACCUUGAUAUUUAAUCUGUAUAAUUGGUUUUAAUAUUUUCGAUAUAAGUGUAUUUUUUUUUACAA